UACGUAGGGGGCAAGCGUUGUCCGGAUUUAUUGGGCGUAAAGAGCGUGUAGGCGGUUAGGUAGGUCCGGUGUGAAAACUCGAGGCUUAACCUCGAGAGGUCGCCGGAAACCAUCUGGCUAGAGUCCGGAAGAGGAGAGUGGAAUUCCUGGUGUAGCGGUGAAAUGCGCAGAUAUCAGGAAGAACACCAAUGGCGAAAGCAGCUCUCUGGGACGGUACUGACGCUGAGACGCGAAAGCGUGGGGAGCAAACAGG
This 253-nucleotide ribosomal RNA is filed under the name uncultured bacterium. RNAcentral describes it as "partial 16S ribosomal RNA". It matches the Rfam family "Bacterial small subunit ribosomal RNA", at positions 524 to 776 of the family's 1533-position model. The record is from RNAcentral.